ACACCGGCAGCUCUAGUGGUAGCUGUUUUUAUUGGGCCUAAAGCGUUCGUAGCCGGUUUGGUAAGUCACUGGUGAAAUCCUGUAGCUUAACUAUGGGAAUUGCUGGUGAUACUGUUGAACUUGAGGUCGGGAGAGGUUAGCGGUACUCCCAGGGUAGAGGUGAAAUUCUGUAAUCCUGGGAGGACCACCUGUGGCGAAGGCGGCGAAUUGGAACGCUCCUGCGGGAGAUGGACGAACGCGAGGGGCGCGCAAGGGAUUAGAUUUCCGGUGCAUGCUAGCCGUUAACGACACGGAUUUGGUGGUGGAAUGGCUUUGCGGCCCUCGGGUGCCGAAGGGAAGCUGUUAAGUGCGCCGCCUGGGAAGUACGGUCGCAAGGCUGAAACUCAAAUGAAUUGACGGGG
RNAcentral lists this ribosomal RNA (401 nucleotides) under uncultured bacterium. Its description in RNAcentral is "partial 16S ribosomal RNA". It matches the Rfam family "Archaeal small subunit ribosomal RNA", at positions 473 to 873 of the family's 1478-position model. The record is from RNAcentral.